Molecule: long non-coding RNA, 1734 nt
Filed under: Nicotiana tabacum (common tobacco)
Lineage: Eukaryota; Viridiplantae; Streptophyta; Magnoliopsida; Solanales; Solanaceae
Description: long non-coding RNA (NTAB_LNC015096)
Source: RNAcentral
ACCAGUUAAAACAAAAUUACCCACAUUGAUGAACAUGUUGACAUUGAAUCGUCGAAGGGCUCAGAUCAUCAAGUGUUUUGAAGAAGAAUCUAGUGAUUCUCUAGAAGAAAUUCUCAUUACUCAAAAAAGGACCAGCAAACGACUAAUGGAGUCGAAUCUCAAACAAUCAUCACAGAAGAAAGGGAAAAUCAAAAGCAUGGAUUUAGGCCCCGAGGACAAGAUGAACUUUUAUGGUCCUGAGGAAAAGUCCUAAUUGGUUGCCUACAAAGGGAGGUCGAUUGCUUAUGGAUGCACUGUAAGUUUAAAAUCUAUGAAGAAUUCUCACUGUGAUGUUGUCUCUGUGUUUGAAACUCAAAAACUCUUAUCUCUAUUUGCUAUUGUUGGUGAUACCAUUUAUGAAAAUCUUGUGCGUAUGUUAUAUGCAACUUGUUUGUGGAUGACAAAGAUGAUUUGGAAUUUAUGGUUCUUGGGACUUGCAUCAUUCUUGAUUCUUAUCAGUUUGAAAAUAUCUUUUCAACUAAGUUUCUUGGGUAUCAGUUUGAAAAUAUCUUUUCAAACUAAGUUUCUUGAUUCCUAAAGUUUUGAGCAUUUUGUGUUAGCCCACAUUAUUGUUACCACCAUCCUACCUUGCAUUGGGUCCCUUAGCACCUUGUCUAUCAUACACGUGUUUGUUUUGUACUGUCUUAUUAAUGGAAAAAACUAUUGAUUGGUUCACCUGGAUACGUCAAUUCACGCUUGAGAGUAUUAGGGAUGUCUCUUCCUCUGCGAACAGUUUGCCCUAUGGCCUACUAAUCUCUCAUAUUUUGCAAGUGAUGAAAGUAGAUUUAUCUCCCUUUUCCCCUAAGAUCUUCUCUAGCACUUAUGACAAAACAACAAUCGCUAUGAUGGGGUACACCUUAGUUGAAGGGACUUGGGUCAAGAAAGACAAACCCCCAGAAUCUACAACCCCAACAUAACAGGGUACUGGAGGAAUUAUGUCUGAAGUCAACCAAUCUUCAUCCUCAGAUCAGUUGUUGCUAAUGUAUCAAAAUAUUGUAAGUAUCAAGGAUUUGCUAACCACUAUGUAGGAAACAAGUAGGCAAAAUCAGGAAAGUAACAAAGAAAACUGGAAUAGAUGUGGCUAGAUUAAGAAUCAAUCUUCAGACCACAAAAAGACAAAGGAUCAGAGCUAUGCAGAAUGUCACUGAUCAUUUGAUUAAAGUCACCAAGGAGAUUGAUGCCUCUUAUGACAAUUUCUACACCAACGCGAUCAACAUUCUAAAGUAUUUCCUUGGAAGGAAUUGUUGUCUGGGAUGUUUCAACUAAGACUACUUGGUUGUAUAUAUAAGUACUACAUGAUGGUUAUUUUAUGUCAUUAUCUAUCAUUUUCUAUGUAUCUUCUCUUGUUAUUUUUUAUUGAUAUCAAAGGGGGAGAAAAAAGAGUAUAAAGACAGGGGGGCUAGAUAGGGGGAGGAUGAAGACGAGAGAGAACAACAUAUAAAAGGAUAUAAUGUGAAGGAAAGCAUUACAAAAUCCUUGAAACUCUUUUGUUUAUUGUCAAAAAAGUGGGAGAUUGUUAGGUUUCGAAUUUCAAUGAUGACUCAAAACAAAAGUUAAACACUCUCUACUAAUGUAUCUACCACGUGUGUAGGCUAACUAUUCAAAUCACAAGAAGGAAAGUGCACCAGGGUAGGAAAGAAACAAAAGAAGGUACAACCACAACUAUCACAUUCAAAUCCUUCUAUCAAGUGCGUA